UCUUAUAUUUCUUAUCCUUGAAAAUGUGGCAUAAAGCUGGCUCCCUUGCAAAUAAGCAGAACUGCUUUGAUGAGUUCAACCCAGAAAGUUAUGUAUAGAGGGUGGAAGCAACAGUGGACUUCUUGUUGGCGCUUGCAGAAAUCAGUUACUAUUUGGGAGUUGCAACUGGGGCUCUUCGAGACCUGAUCUUUUUGGUUGUGCCCUGGCUCAUGUUGGUUGGUGUUAUGGACAUGUUACGGUUCCACAAAUUUACAAUAGGUCAUGCUUGUACCACAGAUUAUGGUUGUUCAGACAAGGAGGAAGAAUUUCAUUGGCUAAUCAAGUUUGUUAAACCGAUCAUGAAAUAUA
Long non-coding RNA from Glycine soja, 348 nucleotides. RefSeq lists it as uncharacterized. The transcript is spliced from 3 exons. NCBI's taxonomy places the organism in Eukaryota, Viridiplantae, Streptophyta, Magnoliopsida, Fabales, Fabaceae. The record is from RefSeq and is a predicted model, not a curated record.